Paramuricea clavata is the source of this 557-nucleotide non-coding RNA. The record is from the annotation of a GenBank genome assembly. Lineage: Eukaryota; Metazoa; Cnidaria; Anthozoa; Malacalcyonacea; Plexauridae.
AACUUCCCGGGACAUUUCAUCAGUAAGCAAUUUAUUUUUAGUUUUUUACAGUAUACUAUUAUAUUGAUUGAAAUUAGACUUGCAUUAACAUGAUAAACAUCCCUAAGGAUGAAGUACUAUGAAAACAGUUGAUACAAAAUGUUCAUCAAGAAAAGUGGUCACCCAAAAAGCAGAUGUUUAUAUGUUCUGACCACUUCUGUUCUGGUUGCAUUGUCCAUACUGUUCUGUUCUGGCUUCAUUGUCCAUACACAGUCUUUACUGAGCUAGAUCACCAUAUUUUUGACUCACCAGUUGGAAAUCAUGUUAUAUUUCAGUUGACCAAGAGCAUCAUCAAGAGUUACUGUGAGGUUAAAUUUUACCAUCUUGGAAAAAAGACCACUGAGAAUUCAUCUUGACAAAAAAUUAGAAAUUAAAUAAACUUGUACCUUUUAAGCACCAGUGUGAGUGAUUACACAGAAUGUAUCAGAGAAAGCUAAAUAUUACUAAAAUUUACUAUGAAACUGCCCAAGCUGAAAGUGCAGACUCUGUCUCAAACAUAAUUUUACUAAAAUUUACUA